This is a long non-coding RNA of Glycine soja, 659 nucleotides long. RefSeq lists it as uncharacterized. Lineage: Eukaryota; Viridiplantae; Streptophyta; Magnoliopsida; Fabales; Fabaceae. The record is from RefSeq and is a predicted model, not a curated record. The transcript is spliced from 3 exons.
GAACAUUUUCACUGCAGCUUGGUAGCUAAUGUUUUUUACUUUAUUUUUUUGCUACGGCAGGUAUUAUGUUCCAAGAUAUUACUACGUUCUGCUUCACUGGUCAAUGAUGUGUUUCUUGCCGCCAUAUCAUUCAUGUCUACCUUUUUUUUUUUUGCAGUUGAAAAAUAAGAGUAGUAAGCAUGGGAUUGAUGAGUGUUUCUGGGUUUUGUUUUUAUGUUCCUGGUGUUGGAAGUUUUAAGUUCUGUUCUGUUUUUUGGCAAAUUUCCUCAGUUUUUGUGUGGAUUACGGUUUUAUUUUUUAUUUUGUUCUUUUUUAUUAUUUUUUCCUUUUAAUCUCUUUGCAGGAAAUCGUGCCACUUGAGGAAGUUUUCCAGAAUCUACUGAGGAGAGGCUGAUCAUCUUUGGCCACCACAAACUUGAGGAGAAGAAGAAGAUUAAGGUUUUGAAGUUUUUAGGAUUUAUGUGGAAUCCUCUUUCAUGGGUCAUGGAAGCUGCAACAAUCAUGGCCAUUGCUUUGGCCAAUGGAGGAAGUAUCAUCUCGGGCAGCUCAAGGCAAAACUAGCAAAACUGAGGACACAAUUAUUGGAGCCUCCAAAAGUAUGAUGCUAUUUAUACUGUUUAUUUCAUACUGCAAUUUUACUUUUUAAAUUAUAAAGUUUA